AGUAACACGUGGGUGACCUGCCCCGAUGACUGGGACAACCCGGGGAAACCCGGGCUAAUACCGGAUGAACUCUUUGGCCUGCGGGCCGUUGAGAAAAGAUAGCUUCGGCCUUCGCAUCGGGAUGGGCCCGCGGUCCAUUAGCUUGUUGGUGAGGUAACGGCUCACCAAGGCUGCGAUGGAUAGCUGGUCUGAGAGGACGAUCAGCCACACUGGGACUGAGACACGGCCCAG
This 231-nucleotide ribosomal RNA is filed under the name uncultured bacterium. Its description in RNAcentral is "partial 16S ribosomal RNA". It matches the Rfam family "Bacterial small subunit ribosomal RNA", at positions 109 to 334 of the family's 1533-position model. The record is from RNAcentral.